RNAcentral lists this ribosomal RNA (304 nucleotides) under uncultured bacterium. RNAcentral's name for it is "partial 16S ribosomal RNA". It matches the Rfam family "Bacterial small subunit ribosomal RNA", at positions 506 to 809 of the family's 1533-position model. The record is from RNAcentral.
CAGCAGUAGCCACGGUAACACGUAGGGUGCAAGCGUUAAUCGGAAUUACUGGGCGUAAAGCGUGCGCAGGCGGUUAUAUAAGACAGAUGUGAAAUCCCCGGGCUCAACCUGGGAACUGCAUUUGUGACUGUAUAGCUAGAGUACGGCAGAGGGGGAUGGAAUUCCGCGUGUAGCAGUGAAAUGCGUAGAUAUGCGGAGGAACACCGAUGGCGAAGGCAAUCCCCUGGGCCUGUACUGACGCUCAUGCACGAAAGCGUGGGGAGCAAACAGGAUUAGAUACCCCGGUAGUCCCUGUCUCUUAUAA